CCUACGGGAGGCAGCAGUGGGGAAUAUUGCGCAAUGGGCGAAAGCCUGACGCAGCAACGCCGCGUGGGUGAUGACGGUCUUCGGAUUGUAAAACCCUGUCUUCGGGGACGAUAAUGACGGUACCCGAGGAGGAAGCCACGGCUAACUACGUGCCAGCAGCCGCGGUAAUACGUAGGUGGCAAGCGUUGUCCGGAUUUACUGGGCGUAAAGGGUGCGUAGGCGGAUAUUUAAGUCAGAUGUGAAAUCCCCGGGCUCAACCUGGGAGCUGCAUUUGAUACUGGAUAUCUAGAGUGCAGGAGGGGAAAGUGGAAUUCCUAGUGUAGCGGUGAAAUGCGUAGAGAUUAGGAAGAACACCAGUGGCGAAGGCGACUUUCUGGACUGUAACUGACGCUGAGGCACGAAAGCGUGGGGAGCGAACAGGAUUAGAUACCCUGGUAGUCCACGCCGUAAACGAUGAGUACUAGGUGUCGGGGGUCGAACCUCGGUGCCGCAGUUAACACAUUAAGUACUCCGCCUGGGAAGUACGGUCGCAAGAUUAAAACUCAAACGAAUUGACGG
RNAcentral lists this ribosomal RNA (558 nucleotides) under uncultured bacterium. RNAcentral's name for it is "bacterial SSU rRNA". It matches the Rfam family "Bacterial small subunit ribosomal RNA", at positions 338 to 916 of the family's 1533-position model. The record is from RNAcentral.